UGAGGAACAUGACCUUCGGCGGGGGAUAGCCGGCCCAACGGCCGGGUAAUACCGCGUACGACCACAUGGGGACAUCCCUGAGUGGUGAAAGCAGCAAUGCGCCGAUGGAGUGCCUCGCGGCCUAUCAGCUAGUUGGUGAGGUAACGGCUCACCAAGGCGACGACGGGUAGCUGGUCUGAGAGGAUGGCCAGCCACAUUGGGACUGAGACACGGCCCAGACUNUACCGGGAGG
Molecule: ribosomal RNA, 232 nt
Filed under: uncultured bacterium
Lineage: Bacteria
Description: partial 16S ribosomal RNA
Rfam family: Bacterial small subunit ribosomal RNA
Source: RNAcentral